RNAcentral lists this ribosomal RNA (497 nucleotides) under uncultured bacterium. RNAcentral describes it as "partial 16S ribosomal RNA". It matches the Rfam family "Bacterial small subunit ribosomal RNA", at positions 28 to 507 of the family's 1533-position model. The record is from RNAcentral.
GAUGAACGCUGGCGGCGUGCCUAAUACAUGCAAGUCGAGCGAACAGAUAAGGAGCUUGCUCCUUUGACGUUAGCGGCGGACGGGUGAGUAACACGUGGAUAACCUACCUAUAAGACUGGGAUAACUUCGGGAAACCGGAGCUAAUACCGGAUAACAUAUUGAACCGCAUGGUUCAAUAGUGAAAGGCGGCUUUGCUGUCGCUUAUAGAUGGAUCCGCGCCGUAUUAGCUAGUUGGUAAGGUAACGGCUUACCAAGGCAACGAUACGUAGCCGACCUGAGAGGGUGAUCGGCCACACUGGAACUGAGACACGGUCCAGACUCCUACGGGAGGCAGCAGUAGGGAAUCUUCCGCAAAGGGCGAAAGCCUGACGGAGCAACGCCGCGUGAGUGAUGAAGGUCUUCGGAUCGUAAAACUCUGUUAUCAGGGAAGAACAAAUGUGUAAGUAACUGUGCACAUCUUGACGGUACCUGAUCAGAAAGCCACGGCUAACUACGUG